GGCGUAGGUGGCCUUUCAAGUCGGAUGUGAAAUUUCCCGGCUCAACUGGGACGAGUCAUCCGAUACUGUUGGGCUGGAGUGCAGCAGGGGGAAACGGAAUUCCCGGUGUAGUGGUGAAAUGCGUAGAUAUCGGGAGGAACACCAGAGGCGAAGGCGGUUUUCCAGGCUGUUACUGACACUGAGGCCCGAAAGCGUGGGGAGCGAACAGGAUUAGAUACCCUGGUAGUCCACGCUGUAAACGAUGGACACUAGGUAUAGGGAGUAUCGACCCUCUCUGUGCCGAAGCUAACGCUUUAAGUGUCCCGCCUGGGGACUACGGCCGCAAGGUUAAA
This 332-nucleotide ribosomal RNA is filed under the name uncultured bacterium. RNAcentral's name for it is "bacterial SSU rRNA". It matches the Rfam family "Bacterial small subunit ribosomal RNA", at positions 568 to 898 of the family's 1533-position model. The record is from RNAcentral.